Molecule: transfer RNA, 74 nt
Organism: Ipomoea nil (Japanese morning glory)
Lineage: Eukaryota; Viridiplantae; Streptophyta; Magnoliopsida; Solanales; Convolvulaceae
Rfam family: tRNA
About the family: Transfer RNA (tRNA) molecules are approximately 80 nucleotides in length. Their secondary structure includes four short double-helical elements and three loops (D, anti-codon, and T loops).
Source: Rfam
GGUCUUAUAGCUCAGUUGGUUAGAGUGUUGGUCUUAUGAGUUGAAAGUCGCGGGUUCAAGCCCCGCCAAGACUA